GAUGAACGCUGGCGGCGUGCCUAAUACAUGCAAGUCGAGCGAACAGACGAGGAGCUUGCUCCUCUGACGUUAGCGGCGGACGGGUGAUUAACACGUGGAUAACCUACCUAUAAGACUGGGAUAACUUCGGGAAACCGGAGCUAAUACCGGAUAAUAUAUUGAACCGCAUGGUUCAAUAGUGAAAGACGGUUUUGCUGUCACUUAUAGAUGGAUCCGCGCCGCAUUAGCUAGUUGGUAAGGUAACGGCUUACCAAGGCAACGAUGGGUAGCCGACCUGAGAGGGUGAUCGGCUAGAUGGGAAGUGAGACACAGCAGAGACUCUGGGGGGAGGAAGCAGUAGGGAAUCUUACGCGAGGGACCAAAGCCUGACGGAGCAACGCCGCGUGAGUGAUGAAGGUCUUCGGACCGGAGAACUCUGUUAUUAGGGAAGAACAAAUGUGUAAGUAACUAUGCAGGUCUUGACGGUACCUAAUCAGAAAGCCACGGCUAACUACGUG
This 497-nucleotide ribosomal RNA is filed under the name uncultured bacterium. Its description in RNAcentral is "partial 16S ribosomal RNA". It matches the Rfam family "Bacterial small subunit ribosomal RNA", at positions 28 to 507 of the family's 1533-position model. The record is from RNAcentral.